Molecule: long non-coding RNA, 3449 nt
Organism: Ictalurus punctatus (channel catfish)
Lineage: Eukaryota; Metazoa; Chordata; Actinopteri; Siluriformes; Ictaluridae
Exons: 3
Source: RefSeq, a predicted model, not a curated record
CACCAGGUUUGUGUAACACAAAUUUAAUGAUUCGUACUCUAAUACAAAUGACACACACAUCUUACACACACCUCAAACAACCGCAAUAAUCCCUGUAUUUAAAUGAUUGAGUUCAUUUCAGUAAUAUGGAUAAAGAUAGAUGGUAAGGGAGGGGGCAUGCAUGAUUAAAGGUCUGCCUGAUUAAAGGUCUUAAAUAAGUCGCUCAAGUAUAUAUGUGUGUGUAGGUGUGUGUGUGUGCGCUUCUAAGCUUUGAAGACAAAUUCGUACCUCAUUAUGUCAUAAAAUGAACUCUCUUCAAAUGUCUGCCAAUAUCGCCUCAAAAACUGUUGCGAGAAAGAAGCCCAUCCUGGCUGCAACCUACUACAAUAUUGCCAUGUUGGUAUUCUGUUGCCAAAUAAAUGCUUAAGAAAAACAUUUAAACAAAAUGAUAAUGUGUGACUGCUCAUGAAGUGUGCCAAUAAUUCUGCAGGGCUGUAUAUUGCAUAUAAAACUGCCAUGCACUCUGCUGUUUUGUGGUAAAUUUGACUUGACAGUGAAUAGGAUACAGACAAAUAUAGCGAGCGACAGCAUCACAACUGUCACAGGAUACAUUUUCUUCUGUCAUAAAAUGUUGGUUUUACACACAGGCAGCAGGCACCACAUUUCUCUGUAAUUUGAUACUGUUUGACAGCAUCUGAACACACAGUACUUUUGAUAUGGUCGGGAAGAAUCUCGGAAAAGGACAAAUACUCAUGUACGUGCCUUUGUAGGGUGUUUGCAAGUGUGUAUGUGUGUGUGCAUGUAUGUGUUUCUGACUCACUGCAGCCUAGAUACAGCUGUCAAGUGUGUGUGUUGUGGAUGAGGAGGGUUAGGAGGGUCCUUAUGUGUGUUAACCAGUGAAGCAGCAGUAUGUGCUAAAAUGUGGGAGUAGCAGAAAGAAAAAGUGGUCAAACUUUCAUCCAAUUCAGCCAGCCGUGGUCAUUAUCAACCCACACACUCUUAAGAGAGAACUUUUUAACAAGGCUUUGUUCACUGUAAUUGCUUUGCUCUGACUGUAUUUUAGUCUGUGAAUGUGUGCAUGUCUAACAGUAUGACCUGAACAAAUUGGUGUUCUUUAUUUCAGAAAGUGGUAGAUGAAGGAGGUCCAUUAAAGAAAUGAAUUAAAGGAGAUUCACUAUAGAAAGCAGCAUAUUGUGAUUCUGACCGUUGUGCACUAUCUACUUGACUCUGUUGGAUCUAGCUUUGUUGGACCAGCACCCACCUACCUGCCUAAAGCACUUAUCACACCCUGCAUUGCAUUAUGCACCGUCUGAUCCUCUAGCACUGCUUGACUGAACCCACCAUUUCUCAAGGUACACAGAAUGCAUGCAUCAAGACUUGAUGCCCAAUAAUCUCAGUCACUAAAUGUCUUCAAAUGUCUUACCUAAAUUAACAAUUUGUUAUUAUUUAAAAAUAUAUUGUGUUGUCUGUGUGUUUUUCAUAAUAUACUACAUCCCCAACAGGUUUUUAAGCAAACUAAUAGUACUCUUAGUCUAUGACGUAUUGAACCAGUAUCAGGAUGUAUUGAUUGACAGAGACCUCAAAGCACUUCUGCUCUGGAUACACAGCGACCUGCCAUCUCUUGCUGACUCACUACUGUGCAGCAAUACACAGCUCGAAUCACAUCAUCAAGUUCGGAGAUGACACUACCAUGGUGGGUCUGAUCAGCAAGAAUGAUAAUUCAGCAUACAGAGAGGAGGCUAACAGUCUGGUGGAGAGCCAAGAAUCUGUCUCUGAACAUGGACAAAACAAAAGAGAUGGUUGUUGACCACUGUGAGUGACCACUCUCCGCUGAACAUUGGCGGUUUCUCUGUGGAGAUUGCCAAGACCUCACCUGGUCCCUCAACACCAGCUCCAUAACCAAGAAAGCCCAGCAGCACCUCUUCUUUCUGCGAAGGCCCAUCUCCCACCCACCAUCCUCACCACAUUCUACAGUGGAACUAUCAAGAGCAUCUUGAGUAGCUGCAUCACUGCCUGGUUUGGAAAUCGCACCGUCUCAGAUUACAAGACCGUGCAACGGAUAGUGAGGACAGCUGAGAAGAUCAUCAGGGUCUCUCUUCUUGCCAUCAUAGACAUUUAAAACUCACGCUGCAUCUGCAAAGCCACCAGCAUUCUGGAUAACCCUACACACCCCUCACACAAACGCUUCACCAUCCUGUCAACUGGCAAAAGGUACUGAAGCAUUCAGGCCAUCCCACUCCCCUUGCAAUAUUUGCACAUUUCUAUAAUGUUUAAGUGAAUUUUGGCUCCUACUGUAUUUAUAAAAAUAUCCUAUUUAAUUUCUUGUCACUAUUAUACUCCCUGCAAUAACUGAUAUGUACAUAUAUGGUAUAAGCUUAUCUGCUGAAUACUAUGUAUGCUAGUAUGUUAUGUUCACAUUCACAUUUUUAUUAUAUUGUCAUUCUUUUGCACUACCUGUUAUAUCGGACACUUUCACACUAGAAAUGUGUACUGGUCAACGCAGCACUGUCAUUUAUUGUGCCUAUUGUCCUGUUUAUUGUACUGUCUUCUGCUGUUUGCACACGUUGCAUUUGCAGUUUACGUAGAAAUGUGUAAGUCUUAUUUAGUUCUAUGUAGUCUCUUGUACUCGUGUGUUAUUUUAUGUAGCACCAUGGUCCUAGAGGAACGUUGUUCAUUUCACUGUGUACUGUAUAAGCUGUAUAUGUUUGAAAUGACAAUAAAGCCACUUGACAAUAAAGCCACCUGACCCUGAGCAGAAUAAAGUGCUUACUGGUGACUGAAUAAAAAUUAUCCACGUGAUUCCCAGUAGAUCAGUACUGCACGAGAAAAUGUUUGGGGAAAUAUGGAUAAUACAGAUUACCAUCAGAGAAAUCAUGGCUUCAAGGAUGUUUCCUGUACUUCCUGUUCAUUUUUGUGUAUUGCAGAAAUUGUUAAACCAUGUUUGCAUGUAUUGAUUUAAAAAAAAUUUCCCAAGGGGUUUAAUUAAACUGGCCUGGGAAAAGCUACAGGAAGAGGAUGCUAACAAUCUUACUAAUCAAAUAAGGUUAUAACAAUCUUCUAAGUGGUCUCACUGUUUCUGCAGUGUAGGCGAUAUUUUUGUCUUCAUUCUCAAUGCAUAAAAUGAAUCACUAUCCUUAUUUUGAUACAGUUUCUGCAGAAUGACUCAGACCAGUGUGUUAGCUGAAAUAAUACUUGAACAUCUGUGAGAUGUACCAGAUGUACCUCAUCUCUCUGCUGCAUAAACGUUAGCUAAAUAUUUUUCUCCUGUAUGUACAAAACUUUUUUUUGAUUCAAGUUAUAUUCUUUCACUGAAAUAGCUAUUAUAUUUCACAAUGUUCUUAUUGAAAAAGAAGUCAUAGUCAUGGGCCAGUGCAAUAGAAAUAUAAUGAAGUGUCAAAUGUUAUAAAAAGAAACGCAGUCAAUAUACAUCCAUCCAUCCAUCCGUACAGAGUGUCUAAAAACCACGUCAA